Topomyia yanbarensis is the source of this 1354-nucleotide long non-coding RNA. RefSeq lists it as uncharacterized. The transcript is spliced from 3 exons. The record is from RefSeq and is a predicted model, not a curated record. NCBI's taxonomy places the organism in Eukaryota, Metazoa, Arthropoda, Insecta, Diptera, Culicidae.
CUCGAGAUUUCUUGUGGAAUAUAAGUCCUUAAAAAUCUAAUUAAGAAACGAUUUCGCACAUUUUUGUUAUACUGCUUGGCUCGGUUUGAAUCAAUAAAUACACUUGACAUCAAUAUUACCGCUAGGAACCAAAAUAGGUGUCGGUAUCUGUCAUGCAAGUGCGAAUACAUUCACGGCAAGUUCUUAGUGACAUUCAACCGACGGAGAAAGCUUAUGAGGUGAGACGAUGAGCUGAUCCCACUCCCACGAAAGACGGAUUUAAUUUUAUACCCAACUACUUCUGGUUUCAAAGUGUAUUACCAAUUAGUGUUCCAAGAUCAUCCAAUGGUUAAUCUACCACUGCUUCUACAGUUGCUUUGUCACAACUAAUUGAUCUUUGGAAUUCAAUAGCGGUCCUUACACGUUCAAUAUGCACUGAUAAAACUAUCGAGUGGAAUGAAAGCCCUAAAAGACUUUCAUAAUUGACGUCAGACUGCAGGGGAAGUGGCAGGAUGAGAAAAUCCAUCAGAACUGAGCCAAGGAAGCAUUUUGAGAGGAUCUCAAUAAAUGAAAAUGUUGCAUUAGCUAGCGAUGUGCAGCUGCGAGGACGUGUGUUCACUUCUGCGGAAACAGUAAAUUCCAUAUUAAAUUUGCAAAAGGGCGAAUAAGAUUUGUAAACAAACUUUUAUUUUGAUGAUUUCUCUUAAUUUACUAUAAUUUCAAAGCAGAAAACAACUGAAAUUACUUCUACGAAGGGUAAAAAUUUACAUUAACGCAUAUUUUUCAUGAAAUUGCACUCUGCAGCAGACUAAUGAGCGAAACAAGUUUGUUUACAAAAAACAGUUUCGCUCUUUUGACGAAUUAAUAUUGAAUUAUCUCUCCAAAUUGUGAGAAGUAAUUGGUAGAUGUUUCGAUAUGCAUACGAUAAGAAAGUUUUAUCUAGCGAGGAGCUACUCAAGGCUGUUUUGAGUCGCGAUAAUAAUCUGUUGUUUAGUUUUUUUUGCGUUGUAAGAAUAUUGGUUUUUGUCAAAUAAUAACUACUAGUGCAAAUUCCUACAAACAUGUAAUUUUAUUGAAAAAGCUGAAACAGAUUGCAAUGUUACCACAUUUCAAAAUGCUCGUGCUGUACACAUGAUCAGUUCAAGAUACAUUUGGCUGGUAUUCUGAGCAGCAAACUUCUAAGUUAUUCGUUUGGUAGACCGCCCCUCAAACAGAGAUCCAUGAAACAAAAUGCGCUGUUACAUAGUGGUACUUUCCGAGUCCCCGCUGGACCGGAAUGACAUUUGCUGCGUUCUUUGUUUAUAUGGCUGAUCAGCUGUUGUUUGGAAACCUGGGAACAGCCGAGCAGCAACAGUAAAUAAGCGCAGCGAAUUCA